RNAcentral lists this ribosomal RNA (497 nucleotides) under uncultured bacterium. Its description in RNAcentral is "partial 16S ribosomal RNA". It matches the Rfam family "Bacterial small subunit ribosomal RNA", at positions 28 to 507 of the family's 1533-position model. The record is from RNAcentral.
GAUGAACGCUGGCGGCGUGCCUAAUACAUGCAAGUCGAGCGAACGGACGAGAAGCUUGCUUUUCUGAUGUUAGCGGCGGACGGGUGAGUAACACGUGGAUAACCUACCUAUAAGACUGGGAUAACUUCGGGAAACCGGAGCUAAUACCGGAUAAUAUUUUGAACCGCAUGGUUCAAAAGUGAAAGACAGUCUUGCUGUCACUUAUAGAUGGAUCCGCGCUGCAUUAGCUAGUUGGUAAGGUAACGGCUUACCAAGGCAACGAUGCAUAGCCGACCUGAGAGGGUGAUAGGCCACACUGGAACGGAGACACGGUCCAGACUCCUACGGGAGGCAGCAGUAGGGAACCUUCCGCAAUGGGCGAAAGCCUGACGGAGCAACGCCGCGUGAGUGAUGAAGGUCUUCGGAUCGUAAAACUCUGUUAUUAGGGAAGAACAUAUGUGUAAGUAACUGUGCACAUCUUGACGGUACCUAAUCAGAAAGCCACGGCUAACUACGUG